RNAcentral lists this microRNA precursor (84 nucleotides) under Bombyx mori (domestic silkworm). RNAcentral describes it as "mir-2807 microRNA precursor family". It matches the Rfam family "mir-2807 microRNA precursor family". Lineage: Eukaryota; Metazoa; Arthropoda; Insecta; Lepidoptera; Bombycidae. The record is from Rfam by way of RNAcentral.
UUAGCUCAUAUUUGUAUGGAACGGGAUCGUUUGCGUACGUUUGCCGCUAGGGGCGCUGUUCCAACUGCAUACAAAAUUGAGUUA